UGUGUGACCCUGCAGGUACGAACCUAAGUCGGUAGCACAGGAACCAAUUCCUGUACUAAUCAAAGUGACCAUCUAGCAAUGGUACCCGAUGUCCAGAUAGAUCGAAUAAUCGCAAUCGCAACACUCAGAACCUACGUGAAUAUGGUUAUUGUAUAAUUCAUCCUUUUGACCCCUGUGUUUAGGAUGACUCAGGGUUAAACUGUCAACCCUGAUUAGAUCAUCCGAAUCAUGCUCAACUCAAACAGUCCUGUGACUCCUCACUAGGACUACCCUGGCCA
Molecule: long non-coding RNA, 278 nt
Filed under: Elaeis guineensis (African oil palm)
Lineage: Eukaryota; Viridiplantae; Streptophyta; Magnoliopsida; Arecales; Arecaceae
Description: long non-coding RNA (EGUI_LNC067505)
Source: RNAcentral